CCUACGGGUGGCAGCAGUGAGGAAUAUUGGUCAAUGGGCGGGAGCCUGAACCAGCCAAGCCGCGUGAGGGAGGAAGGUACUGCGUAUCGUAAACUUCUUUUGUAAGGGAAUAAAGUGUGGCACGUGUGCCUGGAUGAGUGUACUUUAAGAAUAAGGAUCGGCUAACUCCGUGCCAGCAGCCGCGGUAAUACGGAGGAUGCGAGCGUUAUCCGGAUUUAUUGGGUUUAAAGGGUGCGUAGAUGGGUUGUUAAGUCAGGGGUCAAAGCUUGGGGCUCAACCGUAGCAUUGCCUUUGAUACUGGCAGUCUGGAGUACAGGAGAGGUAUGCGGAAUGCGUGGUGUAGCGGUGAAAUGCAUAGAUAUCACGAAGAACUCCGAUUGCGAAGGCAGCUUACUAGACCGCCACUGACGUUGAGGCUCGAAAGCGUGGGUAUCAAACAGGAUUAGAUACCCGUGUAGUC
RNAcentral lists this ribosomal RNA (460 nucleotides) under uncultured bacterium. RNAcentral describes it as "partial 16S ribosomal RNA". It matches the Rfam family "Bacterial small subunit ribosomal RNA", at positions 338 to 795 of the family's 1533-position model. The record is from RNAcentral.